RNAcentral lists this ribosomal RNA (1686 nucleotides) under marine metagenome. Its description in RNAcentral is "bacterial LSU rRNA". It matches the Rfam family "Bacterial large subunit ribosomal RNA", at positions 700 to 2282 of the family's 2925-position model. The record is from RNAcentral.
UCAGACCUUGCAGACCCGAACCCGAAUGAUCUAACCAUGAUCUACGUAAAAAUUAGGUAUAACUAAUGGGAGGUGUUAAGUGAUUAUUGUUGAAAAAAUAUCAUGUGAAUUAUGGUUAGGGGUGAAAUUCCAAUCGAAUUCGGCGUUAGCUGGGUCCCUCCGAAAUGUAUUGAGGUACAGCGGUCUAAAACUAAUAGCGUGAAUGGGUGAAACUUUUGAAUCCAAAACUUCUAUUUCACAAUUAAGAAAUUAGGGUAAAGCUCUAUUUUAGUGCGGGCUAUGAAAGUGGUACCAAGUUAAGGUAAACUUUGAAUAUAAUCUAUGAAGACUAGUUAGACAAUGGGGGAUAAGCUUCAGUGUCAAAAAGGAAACAGCCUAAACUGCCAUCAAAAAGGACCUAAAAUAACAGCUAAGUGAAAAAGAAUGUAAAUUUGCGAAGACAACCAGGAAGUUUGCUUAGUAGCAGCAAUCUUUUUAAGAAUGCGUAAUAGCUCACUAUUCGAGUUAGUUUACACCGAAAAUGAAAGGGACUAAGAGUUUUGCCGAAAUUGCAGGAGAAAUCGGUAGGGGGGCGUUCCGGUAUAAACAUGGAAGUGAGAAUGUUAGCUUGAGUAACGAAAACAUUAUUAAGAAUCUAUUGCCUUGAAAAUCUAAGGAUUUCUCCGGAAGGCUCGUCCACGGAAGUUUAGUCAUGACCUAACAUUACUCUUUAAAGUUAAGAGUUUCAUGGAUGGAAAACGGGUUAAUAUUCCUGUACCGCUUAUACUACGUAAAGGAAGACGAGUAAAAUAAAGCGGACUGAGUAGUGGUAAUCAGCUCACUUUAUUAAUAGCAUUACCAAGUUUUUUACACUUUUUUACGCUAUAUUUUUUAUUGUCUAUUUCGAUAUUUCAAGUUGCUAGGUUUUAAUGUCCAAGAAAAUUCCGUUUGAACGGUUAAAGAAAUACGCGCUUGUAGCGAUACCGACACAGGUCGAUGUGUAGAAGAUACUAAAGAGCGCAGGUUAAUUUUCCCUAAGGAACUCGGCAAAUUAACUUCGUACCCUCGGAAAAAGAAGUACAUCGACGUUGCAAUAUUAAAACGCUGGUAACUGUUUAGCAAAAACCUAGGUCUCCGCUAAGUUGUGAAACAAUGUAUUGGGGCUGAUGCCUGCCCAGUGCCAGAAGGUAGAGAAAACUUGUUCGGUCUUCCAAAGCUUGUGACCAAAACCCUGGUGAACGGCGGCCGUAACUAUAACGGUCCUAAGGUAGCGAAAUUCCUUGUCGGGUAAGUUCCGACCUGCACGAAAGGUAUAAUAAUCUGCGUACUGUCUCUGGGAGAAGCCUGGUGAAAUAGACAUGUCUGUGAAGAUGCGGACACCUUACAUCUGGACAAAGAGACCCUAUGAAGCUUCACCGUAUUUUGUUAUUGAAUCUCGAUGUCAUUUGUGCAGAAUAGGUGGGAGGAAGAUGUUGUAUAGAUCUUUAUUGCUCCAACUAUGAGAUACCACUCUUAUGAGAUCUAGUUUCUAGAUGAUAGGGAUUAAGUUUGUCCUGUAAAGAAGUCAACCCUCUUUUGAAUUAAUUAAUGAUAUUUUAUUUAAAAAUCCCGUGUCUUAAUAAUUUGCGUUCACCUGAUUUGUUCUAGUCAUGUUGUUUGUUAUUUACUUGAGGGGACAGUUGAAAUUAGUCGGUUUGACUGGGGCGG